UCAUGGCCUUUAUGACCAGGGCUACACACGUACUACAAUGGCAUAUACAAAGGGCGGCGACAUCGCGAGGUGAAAGCGAAUCCCAAAAAUAUGUCUCAGUCCGGAUUGGAGUCUGCAACUCGACUCCAUGAAGUUGGAAUCGCUAGUAAUCGCGGAUCAGCACGCCGCGGUGAAUACGUUCCCGGGCCUU
RNAcentral lists this ribosomal RNA (190 nucleotides) under uncultured Desulfobacterium sp. RNAcentral describes it as "partial 16S ribosomal RNA". It matches the Rfam family "Bacterial small subunit ribosomal RNA", at positions 1193 to 1382 of the family's 1533-position model. The record is from RNAcentral. Lineage: Bacteria; Pseudomonadati; Thermodesulfobacteriota; Desulfobacteria; Desulfobacterales; Desulfobacteriaceae.